Molecule: small RNA, 428 nt
Filed under: Malus domestica (apple)
Lineage: Eukaryota; Viridiplantae; Streptophyta; Magnoliopsida; Rosales; Rosaceae
Description: sRNA MD11G0145500
Source: RNAcentral
AAAAAGGGAAGAAGGAAAUCAAAAGAGGGGAUCUCUAGGAUCUCUCUCUUUUUCUGGGGGAGGAAGAGAGGACUCCCUUUUCUCUUGAUUUUUUCUGGGGCGGUUUGAGAGGACACCCAUGGGGAGCGAGUCUUGCGAGUGUGAUCACCAAAACACUACCAGGGAAGAGAGAAAGAACUGGGAGAGGAUGUGCAGAUAGUCCUGACGAGCAGCCUUACGAGCUUAUUGGUUUCUCCCCAUUAGUCGACCCAAAAAUAAAGAGAAGAAAGGACAAAUGGAAGGAAGGGAUUAGAAAUUAAUUAGGAGCAGAGAGAAGGGAGUUGAAGAUAUUCGUAUCCUUCUCGCUUGGGAUGUCAACCUGCAUAAUGACUUGCAGUGGUGAUAGGAGUUUAUUGGUGAUGAACUACGAAUGGCUUGAUCCCUAUUGA